RNAcentral lists this long non-coding RNA (1355 nucleotides) under Pogona vitticeps (central bearded dragon). Its description in RNAcentral is "lncRNA (ENSPVIG00000024162.1)". Lineage: Eukaryota; Metazoa; Chordata; Lepidosauria; Squamata; Agamidae. The record is from RNAcentral.
UUAAAAACAAGAUUUCCCCCAAAAGAAAAAAGGGAAAGAGGUGGGUUCCACAUUGCAAUUUGAGUCUGUUGAAGAUUUAAAAAAACUGAGUCAAGUCAUCGGAGCAACUUAAGUCCACGUUGACAACAAGUCCUACAGCUCGGGUCCCCUUCCCUGGCCGAUCCUCCUAUGCUUCUUUCUCCAUCUUCAAAAUUAAUGGAGCUUGGAGAAAGGUGAUGGUCUUCUUAAACUCAUGGAAUUUGAAGGACUACCUAAUUCAACUCCUUGUCAAUUUAGAAGCAUAUGGCUAAAGAAUCUCCAGCAGAUAAUAAUCUAUCCUCUGUUCAAAAACCUUCACCAAAGGAAAGUUUGCCACCUUCCAGGAUAGUCAUUUUUACUGUUGAACAACUCUUAUGAUCUGGAUUUUUCCCCUAAUGCUCUCGUGCAAAUGGAAUCCAUUGGUUUCUGGCCUACCUUCUGGAGCAGUAGAAAACACAUUUGCUUCUUCUUCCAUGUACCAGUCUUUCAGUUGUCUUGUUGAUGGGUAACAUCUCUUCAGAAGCUGAAAAGAGAUAGCAUCAAAUGUGUGACUAUUCCAUGUGGAUUUCUGAAGUGGUGUGGUCCUAUUCAGGAAAGUAUCAGAGUUCCAAAACGAUGCUCGAGUUGCCCCUUAUCCUGACUAUCCUGUAAAUAAACCCAACAUCAGAGAGAAGCCACCAACAUCCAAUGAACAAAUUCUAAUUAAAAUGGAAGUGGGGUAAGAACGGGUAUCCCUGAAGGUUCUCAUUGCUUAGGAAACAGUGUGUGUGCAUGUAAAACAAGUAAAUACUAGGUUCAGUUGAAAUGAAUGGGGCUUGUUAGUCACAAUUAACAGAAGUCCAAAUAGUUUUGAUGGGUAUUAGGCUAAGAAGUGGUCAAAGGAGAGGGCUUUGACACUAUAUUUAAUAUUAAGGUUUAGUCGGAUUGCCGGUCACUAGCAAUGGAGAAUCUGAAACACCAAUCAGAUUUUACAAGGAUUAUUCGGAGUAAAGGUACAGAGUAUUCUGAGCAACCUUCUAUCAAGUUAGUGGCCGGGUGCAAACCAGUUUUAGCAGGAUGGCUCUAUCAUGUCUUGUCCAACACAUUUGAGGGGCACUGAUUGGAGAAAACAGCUUUAGCAGAAAGAGAAGACAAAAAAUGGGGAGAUAAUGUGCAUGUAAUUGCUGGCUGAAAAGAAAACCAUUUUGUUGGUUGAAAAGGAAAGAUGCUAAAAUGUAUACCAUCUCCCUCAUCAAAUACUGCAUAUUUCUGCCCCCAAAUCAAACUUUCCCUACAGAAAGAUCACACAUAUCAAAGCAAGAAAUAAAUUCUAUUCUUUCAUUAUGAUAGCUCGGUGG